AAUAGACUACCCCGGUAGUCCACGCCGUAAACGAUGCCAACUAGGUCCUGGGGAGUAUCGACCCUCCUUUGGACCGAAGCUAACGCGUUAAGUUGGCCGCCUGGGGAGUACGAGCGCAAGCUUAAAACUCAAAGGAAUUGACGGGGGACCUGCACGAAGCGGUGGAGCGCGUGGUUUAAUUCGUCACAAAGCGUAGAACCUUACCAAGGCUUGACAUCUCUGGAAUCUCUCAGAAACGAGAGAGUGCCGCAAGGAGCCAGAUGACAGGUGCUGCACGGUCGUCGUCAGCUCGUGCUGUGAAGUGUCCCGUUCAGUCGGUUAACGAGCGCAACCCUUACCCUGUGUUAUACAUGUCACAGGGAACUGCCCCAGUUAAUGGGGAGGAAGGUGAGGAUGACGGUCAGGAUCAGGCGUGGCUCUUACGGCCUUGGGCCACACACACGCUACAAUGGGAAGUAACAAUGGGUCGCCAAGCCGCGAGGCGGAGCUAAUCCCACCAAACCUUCCCCCAAUUCGGAUUGCAGGCUGCAACUCGCCUGC
Molecule: ribosomal RNA, 540 nt
Filed under: uncultured bacterium
Lineage: Bacteria
Description: bacterial SSU rRNA
Rfam family: Bacterial small subunit ribosomal RNA
Source: RNAcentral